This 429-nucleotide ribosomal RNA is filed under the name Bacteroidota bacterium. RNAcentral's name for it is "Bacteroidetes bacterium partial 16S ribosomal RNA". It matches the Rfam family "Bacterial small subunit ribosomal RNA", at positions 355 to 776 of the family's 1533-position model. The record is from RNAcentral. Lineage: Bacteria; Pseudomonadati; Bacteroidota.
UAGGGAAUCUUCGGCAAUGGGGGGAACCCUGACCGAGCAACGCCGCGCGAGUGAAGAAGGUUUUCGGAUCGUAAAGCUCUGUUGUUAAGGAAGAACGAGUGUGAGAAUGGAAAGUUCAUACUGUGACGGUACUUAACCAGAAAGGGACGGCUAACUACGUGCCAGCAGCCGCGGUAAUACGUAGGUCCCGAGCGUUGUCCGGAUUUAUUGGGCGUAAAGCGAGCGCAGGCGGUUAGAUAAGUCUGAAGUUAAAGGCAGUGGCUCAACCAUUGUAGGCUUUGGAAACUGUUUAACUUGAGUGAGGAAGGAGAGAGUGGAAUUCCAUGUGUAGCGGUGAAAUGCGUAGAUAUAUGGAGGAACACCGGUAGCGAAAGCGGCUCUCUGGUCUGUAACUGACGCUGGGGCUCGAAAGCGUGGGGAGCGAACAGG